This 2487-nucleotide long non-coding RNA is filed under the name Haliotis rubra (blacklip abalone). Its description in RNAcentral is "uncharacterized LOC124277579". The record is from RNAcentral. Lineage: Eukaryota; Metazoa; Mollusca; Gastropoda; Lepetellida; Haliotidae.
UAUAGUUCUGAUGUACUUCCAUUUUUAGCCAAAUUGUGUGAAUGGUGGGGGCUACAGAUAGGACAGCGCAUGCUUACACUGUUUGUGAACACAUAGUGACAUUCAUAUUCUGCUGUCCAUUCAUAUAAUUUUCCGUAAAAGUCAAGAGACGGUAUUAAUUUGUAGUGACGUUCUAUAUUUAACAAUUUCAAUUUACGCCAAAUGAUAUUAUUUGUUACUAAGGAAAACAGGCUCACCCCAAAGUCAGGGUCAUUGUCAACACCAACAACAUCGUUUUGACAUGCGAAACCAACUCUUCCAUUGUACCCCUUGACCAUGAUCUUGCAAGGGUAUACAAGUGGCAGAGAAACGGACAAGAUGUUGAGACUAGUGGAGGUUCCACGCUUCAGGACAAAGCUUGGCUGUGACUGAUGUGAAGAAAGAGGACCUGGGUAACUACUCAUGUCAAGCUACAGAGGAAGGUCUCGCAUCCAACUGGAGUGAUACAGUCGAUCUCAACAUGCUAGCAAAACCUGAAGUUGGAGAGCUAACAGUGAAUGGAACAGAGUAUAUAACUGUGAAAGAAAAUCAAGUUGUCGUCUUCAGAUGCAUGGUUCAGGAUUAUCUAUCCCCAGCUGUAUUUCUUAUUCAGGAAAACAGCUUGGCAUCAGUGAAUAUGUGGAAGAAACAACAGAAUGUGUAUGAACAUGCUAUGGUUGUACGGAAGUGCUCUCGGCUUGGGGUGUAUUCUUGUAGAGCCACGAAUGUUGCUGGUACAUCAGAAGAUGAACAACAUACAGUUGUCUUGAAAGGAAUGCCACGAAAAGCAGCAUCACAUGUUUUGUGACCAAUGGAAAGACUCCUUCAAUCGUCAUCAAUAUUACGCUGUGUUCAUACCCAGCACCAUCGAAACCAACAUUGCGUUUCACACAGUCAGGAAAUCUAAGAGACAUCACUGACCUGAAGAAGUGUCACCUGGAAAGCAAGAAUAUAAAACACAAUGUAUUUGAAUAUUCGCUCAUGUCUUAAAUAAUAUCACCGACGCAGACUUUGGGGUAUACAUAUUCAGUGUGGAAUAUAAUCACUCUUCAACUGAUUUCAUUAUUCCUGCCUCCAGAAUAACAGGUACUCCAGAAUCGAGUCUUCCUCUGGUUGUCGGUUGUUCAGUCGUUGCUGCAAUUGUAACGAUGGUCAUCAUUGCUGGUGUGAUAAUGUCACGACUCAACCAGUUAAGAGACUAUUGGAACCUAAGGCAAGUAGUAUAUCGUUAUUCUUCAUUUGUUUGAACAUUUCAUAUAUAAUAAAGUGUGAUCGUGUUUAUGCAUGCAUUAGAGAACGUUCUGCUAAUCCCACUAUAAUCCAUAGGUUUCGAUCGUACAUCACACCCAUGCAGAACAUGCCAGAACAUAUCGAUGAUCGAGAGUAUGCUGAAAUCGACGAUGCUGAUUUACCUGACGUGGCGAAGGCAGCAUUGUGCAACCUGUUGUUAAUGUCCCGGAUGAUAACAACAUUCCACCGGCAUGCAGUGCAAGUCACAGACUGGAACGGCAGCAGCUGGAAGGUGAAGAUGAUGAAUAUGAAGAGGUGAGACCACUGGACCCUAUCAACAGUGAGGAACACAGAGAGGAUCAUGAAAGGAGACCUGAAAUGUGGCAGCCAGACACGGAUGAGAUGUUCAUGACAUUAUCUGGCUCCAAUACUCAUUCAGAACCCAGGAUUGUAGUUGCUGAUUGGUCGGCUGGUGGAAGAGAAUCUGGAAAUAUGGCAGCAGCGAUAAUAAAUCAGUCUGCGGAAACAAGCUUCAUGACUCACGUACCUGAUGAAACAGACACUGACAAGUUACCCACGGCCAGUGGAAUGUAUUUUGGAACAGAUGGGGUGACGGCAACUGAGGCAGAAGCAACUGAGCCUUUGGUGGAAUUAAGAGAGGAUUUUGAUGAAAGUGAACAGCAUGAUUUGCCUUUCAACAGAUAUGAGAGUCUGAUGCCGCGCCAAUCUCAAGAUAAUUACACAGCCUUGGACAAAGAUGAUGACAUUAUGCAUGAUUAGUACUCAAACAUGUGUCACAAGCUACUGUGUAAAGCCUCUAAAAGAGGGAAGUUUACCCAAUCAGAAUUCAAAUGCGAGACUUUUUCAAUUUAAUCACACAAUGGAAGUAGUGUGUGCUUUAUUAUGAAAAUAGAUGCAUAGUAUUCCCAGACAUUAUUGAGAAAUUUCGUUUCGGCAAAUAUCUAAUACAUGUAUAUAAAGAUCACGGCUGUAGCUAGGCCAGUCUAAAAAGCUGAACAUUUUCGUCCGACAACCACUGUUUUGUGUAGACCGCAGUGUGUUUUGGGUCGUUAUCAUGCUGGAAAAUCCAAUUAUCUUCAUACAGUGUUCGGGCCGUUGCAAGGAGGUGAUCAUUUAAGAUGUCAAGAUAUCAUUCCUUCGUCACAUGUCCAGUGAAAAUACACAACGGCGCCACUCCACAUAAUGAUAUCCCACACAACAUGUGAAAUUUCGGGCUAU